This 350-nucleotide unclassified non-coding RNA is filed under the name fungal sp. RNAcentral describes it as "partial internal transcribed spacer region". The stretch from base 1 to 46 matches the Rfam family "Eukaryotic small subunit ribosomal RNA", at positions 1786 to 1831 of the family's 1831-position model. Lineage: Eukaryota; Fungi. The record is from RNAcentral.
AAGUCGUAACAAGGUUUCCGUAGGUGAACCUGCGGAAGGAUCAUUAUCACGUAUCCAAACGUAUAAACCAAUGUGCACCUCUAAUUCCUCCUCUGGAAAUGAAGUGGCAGAGAAGUUGAUAUUCUGAUUCAUGGUCUUUCAGAAUUCUCUGUCUUGAUCUAAAACUUUAUUGUUUUAGUUCAGCCUUCUACUCCGGGAGUCGUAUCAAACCAUGCUUGUUUUACUAAACAACUUGUACCUUUCUGAACUAACUUUGGUUGGAAAAAGAUGAUAUCUUCGGAUCUCGUUUUUUGAUAACCUUGAUUUAUAUAAACUCUGAACUACUCUUAACAACGGAUAUCUUGGUUCUC